Molecule: long non-coding RNA, 2514 nt
Organism: Triticum aestivum (bread wheat)
Lineage: Eukaryota; Viridiplantae; Streptophyta; Magnoliopsida; Poales; Poaceae
Exons: 4
Source: RefSeq, a predicted model, not a curated record
CAACCCUAGAAAUCGAGUACCCAACCCAAAUACAUCCCCGUUCCAUCCCCACUCCCCUGCCGCCGCCGUCCAUCCCCACCUCCCUGCUGUCGCUCCACCACCUAUGUCCCCGCCGCCGUGCCAUCGCUGCCCUCGUGCUCCAGCGUCACCCUCGUCCUCGCUGCCCUCGUCCUCACGCUUCCCCCACCCCACCGACACAUGUUCCCUACCAUCGCCGGGGUCGCAGCCGCCGAUAGACCGACCCCGAGAUCCGUCCGUCCACCGUCCCCAACCCCAUUCCACAUCCCCGAGCCCUCGACCCCAUCCCCUCCUUCCUUCCUUGCAGUCACAGCCGCCGAGAGCUCCGUCCCCUGCCGCCUUCACCGACCAGCCCCCUACCCCACCCCCAAGAUGAAGUGAAUGCCUCUUAGGGAUUCUAGCGCCACCGCCAACCACCAUCGGAGACUGCCAUCCGCAAGCGCCAGCAUCGCCAUAACUACCGAAUCACCUCGGGCUGGUGGGAGUGGGCGUUGCUAGGUAAGCACCGAUGGUGGGAUCCCCAAUUUGUUUUCUUUGUUCUUGUUCUUCCAACCGUGACUAGCACCCUGUGUCUCUAGUAGAUCGAACUGCAAGUUUGCUGCAACUUUGGAGUUGUAUUGUUGGUAGUUGCUGUGGAGUAGUUUGGACAUGUUGUUGAUCUGAAGCAUAACCUGAUCCCUUCUCACUUAAUCAGCCCCUUUUUGUUUAAGAAGAGCGUGUAGUAUUACAAAGGUUACUACUUGGAUCUGUAUACCACUGAGAAGCAAAGCAAUCAUACCUUGUUUUAUUUUCUAAUUGUUUUGCCCGAUCGAUGGCUAGCGGGACAUGGUACUUUAGUUCUUGAAUUCUAGGCUUGCAAGUGUCUGAAUUCUAGGUCUGCAUCAGCAUCAUAUGUUAAUCAGAUAUAUGUGUAACCAGCUAUACUGAUGAUAUUGCUAUAAUAAAUAGUAAUUCUGGAGUACCACUUCUUUUUGUAGCUAGCAUGUAGGCUAUAAGCUCUCGUUGAUGCUAUAGAUGGUCAGGUCGGUUUCAAUUUUUUCCGGACAAAAUUAGAUUCCAACCUAGUUUGUAGGAGGUUUGGUAGAUAUACAAGUCACUAUAAAAAAGUCAGUUGCACAGUCAAAUGACUGAAGUGAAAUAUUCUCAUUGGAGAAAUUUGCAACUGUUACCAAAUUGCAAAUGCAGAAUGAGAUAAUUGUAAGCUUAACACUGCAGAAUCAACGUUUUAUAAAUAUUGUUGGAUUAUCAAGUAUGCAGUAGGGGAUAAAUUUUUAACGGCUGCCUAUAAUGUCAACAUUGUCUAGGCAAAUAACAUGUUCUUUUCCGUUAUUUUUUUCCUUGAGAUGGUAAUACGUUUUAAUACGUGGCCUCAAAAUCUGGAAGACGAAAUUCAUUCAUUGAUACAAGUUUGUUUGCUGUGUUCCCUCCCUGUCAUUUAAACCCGCCAUUCGCUGAGUAAUUAUGGAUAAAUUUGUUGAUCUUCUCUUGUACGGUUUGGUUCAAGCACUUGUGUUUAUGGAGAAAAUUUACACUAGCUUGCACCUGUGGUCAAACAUUUAGGUCAAAAAUGCACCUGCUGCAUGGCCUAUUCCUUCAAUUUGUGCAGUAAGAUAAUGUGAUGAAUCAUUCAUUCAUAUAUUCAUAUAUGUGUUCAGAUGCUUCUUUCCAAACAUAUAAAAUGUGUUCAGAUGCAUGUCUUCAGUUCAUGUUUUUCAUUUUUUUCUUGGGACAGGAAAGUAGUAUGUAAUGCACGUAUCUCCAGAUGAGAUAGGAGAUAGAUAUAUUUAUGUGUCAGAUACUACUGUCUGACUAUUUGUGGUAAUAAGUAUUGGUGUUAAGUAGAAUCUCCAUUUUUGUUCCCAUCAUAGGACCAUUAAACAGUCCGAUGCGAGCCAUAUAUUUGAUAUUAAGCAAGUUGUCUGUGGAUGUUCAAUACCCACCUAAUUUGAGCUCCCCGUUUCCUUAUGCAGGUACCAAAACAACAAGGUUCUUUCCUGAUGUCCUGCUUAUUGGAGGGGGGGGGGGGGGGGGAUGAUGUAGCAUCGAUCACUAGUAGGCCAAGGGUGGUUGAUACAUGUCUUCACAUUUUUCAGAGCAACGUGCAGUGGAAGAAGCAGCCUAUGAACUGAAAUAGUUUGCAUAAGAAAUAGGCGAUGUACUCAGCCACCUACUACACAUGGAUGUGAUGACUUCGGAGUGUUCUGCAGCAUUUGGCUGUUUGCAGUAUUUUGGACCAGCCAACUUGUGGUCAUGAAUCUUAUGUCUGUUUUGGACCAUUUGGUGCUUCAAGUGUUUUGGAGCAUAUAUCUUGUGCUCAUGGGUGUGAUAUAAGUGUUUUGGUUCAUUUAAUGUUAGAACUCUUUUAGAACAGCAAAUAGUGGUCCCUUUAUGUGGCUUGUGUUUUCUCGAUGGUGGUCAAAAUGGCCAAACUUUGCUAUGUAAGGACUGUCUUGUUUUUGAACUUCUGAUCAAUAUAUAUAUGUAUGUUUGUGAACA